Molecule: long non-coding RNA, 823 nt
Filed under: Ananas comosus (pineapple)
Lineage: Eukaryota; Viridiplantae; Streptophyta; Magnoliopsida; Poales; Bromeliaceae
Description: long non-coding RNA (ACOM_LNC018821)
Source: RNAcentral
AACUAAGUAUUAUAUUUACAUUACCGACCGUCCCUAGAGCAAGUGGCAAAGGGCCUGGUAGUUGAUAUUCGAUACCUAAGUUCGAAUCCUAGUUGAUUCAUAUUUUUAGCUAAGUUUAUUUCUAAAUAAAAUAAACGAAACGGAUAGCGUGCUACCUAUCUCUUUCUAAAAAAAAUAAUAAUAAUUAUAUUUACAUUCAUGUUAUUAAUUACUUUUUUGAAGUACAACAAAUCGUCUCAUAGACAAAAUAUACCGUUCUAUCAAAUCAUAAAUUCAAUAAACAAAAAUCAAACUCUUUACUUCUAAUCAUGCAUGCACGAGAGCUUUCGUAGCGAAUAAGUUAUUGUCAGAUAACUUAUUCCGAUAUCCAAACAGGACCAACCAACGUGGAUCAACCGCCCACUGUCGCUGGAACAAAUAAUCGAGAGUGUUUUUCAUAAGUUGUCUUGCACUAAUUAAUUUUAGAAGCCUAAUACCCUACCAGCAUCCAUCAACGGGCCCAUUAAUGCGCCAAUAAUUGAGAAUUUUCAAUAAUUAUUUUUUUGGAGAAGUAAGACAUUCCAAAAUAUCUUUUUCUAUAUAAUAAUGAGGCCUUUCACUUAAUCAAUCAUCCCAAUUAGUUCAACUGCUCUUCAAAUUAACCCUUCAUUAUCCCACCUUUAAAUACCUCCUCCACCUCCCCCCUCUCUCCCCCACACCUCUCCAUGUCCAAAACUAUUAUCUCUCUCCUACACUUUCUACUCUCCUCAAAUUCUCCUUAGUAUAUAUUUUUAUCAAAAUUUUCUUUUUAACAACAAAAAUAAUAAUAAUAAUAAUAAUAAUA